RNAcentral lists this unclassified non-coding RNA (256 nucleotides) under air metagenome. Its description in RNAcentral is "partial contains small subunit ribosomal RNA, internal transcribed spacer 1, and 5.8S ribosomal RNA". The stretch from base 1 to 46 matches the Rfam family "Eukaryotic small subunit ribosomal RNA", at positions 1786 to 1831 of the family's 1831-position model. The record is from RNAcentral.
AAGUCGUAACAAGGUUUCCGUAGGUGAACCUGCGGAAGGAUCAUUAAUGAGUUAGGGUCCCAUGGGCCCGAUCUCCAACCCUUUGUUAAAACCACUUUGUUGCUUUGGCAGGCCCGUCUUUCGGGACCGCCGGAGGGGUUCAGUCACCUCUGGUCAGUGCUUGUCAGUAGCCUAUUUAAAUUCUUCUUAACGAUGAAUGUCUGAUUAAUAAUUAUAAAUUUAAUUAAAACUUUCAACAACGGAUCUCUUGGUUCUG